Molecule: transfer RNA, 73 nt
Filed under: Salmonella enterica subsp. enterica serovar Kottbus
Lineage: Bacteria; Pseudomonadati; Pseudomonadota; Gammaproteobacteria; Enterobacterales; Enterobacteriaceae
Description: tRNA-Met
Source: RNAcentral
GCCAUUGCGGUAAUGCCGCUUUAAGCGACUCAUAAUCGCUUGGUCGCUGGUUCAAGUCCAGCAGGGGCCACCA